GAAUAAAUAAAUAAGGUUGGAAUGGUAAUGUAGGCGGGGCAAGCGUGCCACUGUUAUGAUAGAACAAACAUAACUCGACCGAUUCUUUCAUUCACCGCGUUUAGUGCGCUUCGGACUACUUGGCGAACAGAUCUCCGCUUUAUAGUGCCGUGUUGUGCAAUUAUAACUUGUAAAACAAAAAAUCAGACCUCAAGUAUAGAGCGAGGAGGUAUAUCUUUCGAUCGGUUUCCUAAAGAACCUAACGCCAGGGAACAAUGGAUUGACGUGACAGGUAGAGGAAACUGGAGACAAAGACGAGUACUAUUUGCUCUAAACAUUUUACUGAAAAUGAUUUUAUCAUAAAAAAAAUCAGAAUACACUUAGUUUUGAAAAA
Bombyx mori (domestic silkworm) is the source of this 373-nucleotide long non-coding RNA. RefSeq lists it as uncharacterized. The transcript has 2 exons. Lineage: Eukaryota; Metazoa; Arthropoda; Insecta; Lepidoptera; Bombycidae. The record is from RefSeq and is a predicted model, not a curated record.